UUUCCGUAGGUGAACCUGCGGAAGGAUCAUUGUUGUAUAACCGAGGUGCGAGGGCUGUCGCUGACCCGAAAGGUCGUGCACGCCCGAGUACCCUCACACACAUCCAUCUCACCCCUAUGUGCACCACCGCGUGGGUCCCCCUUUGGCUUGUUCGGAGGGGGGCUUACGUUUUCACACAAACUUUGUAUGCAGUGUAGAAUGUAUUUUUUGUUUUUGCGAUCACGCAAUCAAUACAACUUUCAACAACGGAUCUCUUGGCUCUC
This 263-nucleotide unclassified non-coding RNA is filed under the name plant metagenome. RNAcentral's name for it is "partial contains small subunit ribosomal RNA, internal transcribed spacer 1, and 5.8S ribosomal RNA". The record is from RNAcentral.